RNAcentral lists this ribosomal RNA (253 nucleotides) under uncultured bacterium. RNAcentral's name for it is "partial 16S ribosomal RNA". It matches the Rfam family "Bacterial small subunit ribosomal RNA", at positions 524 to 776 of the family's 1533-position model. The record is from RNAcentral.
UACGUAGGGUGCGAGCGUUGUCCGGAAUUAUUGGGCGUAAAGGGCUCGUAGGCGGUCUGUCGCGUCGGGAGUGAAAACUCAGGGCUUAACCCUGAGCCUGCUUCCGAUACGGGCAGACUAGAGGUAUGCAGGGGAGAACGGAAUUCCUGGUGUAGCGGUGGAGUGCGCAGAUAUCAGGAGGAACACCGGCGGCGAAGGCGGUUCUCUGGGCAUUACCUGACGCUGAGGAGCGAAAGUGUGGGGAGCGAACAGG